GCUAUCAUGCAGUCGAGCGAACGGACGAGAAGCUUGCUUCUCUGAUGUUAGCGGCGGACGGGUGAGUAACACGUGGAUAACCUACCUAUAAGACUGGGAUAACUUCGGGAAACCGGAGCUAAUACCGGAUAAUAUUUUGAACCGCAUGGUUCAAAAGUGAAAGACGGUCUUGCUGUCACUUAUAGAUGGAUCCGCGCUGCAUUAGCUAGUUGGUAAGGUAACGGCUUACCAAGGCAACGAUGCAUAGCCGACCUGAGAGGGUGAUCGGCCACACUGGAACUGAGACACGGUCCAGACUCCUACGGGAGGCAGCAGUAGGGAAUCUUCCGCAAUGGGCGAAAGCCUGACGGAGCAACGCCGCGUGAGUGAUGAAGGUCUUCGGAUCGUAAAACUCUGUUAUUAGGGAAGAACAUAUGUGUAAGUAACUGUGCACAUCUUGACGGUACCUAAUCAGAAAGCCACGGCUAACUACGUGCCAG
RNAcentral lists this ribosomal RNA (479 nucleotides) under uncultured bacterium. RNAcentral's name for it is "bacterial SSU rRNA". It matches the Rfam family "Bacterial small subunit ribosomal RNA", at positions 46 to 511 of the family's 1533-position model. The record is from RNAcentral.